GCUCAGGAUGAACGCUAGCUACAGGCUUAACACAUGCAAGUCGAGGGGCAGCAUCAUCAAAGCUUGCUUUGAUGGAUGGCGACCGGCGCACGGGUGAGUAACACGUAUCCAACCUGCCGACAACACUGGGAUAGCCUUUCGAAAGAAAGAUUAAUACCGGAUGGCAUAGUUUUCCCCGCAUGGGAUGACUAUUAAAGAAUUUCGGUUGUCGAUGGGGAUGCGUUCCAUUAGGCAGUUGGCGGGGUAACGGCCCACCAAACCGACGAUGGAUAGGGGUUCUGAGAGGAAGGUCCCCCACAUUGGAACUGAGACACGGUCCAAACUCCUACGGGAGGCAGCAGUGAGGAAUAUUGGUCAAUGGACGAGAGUCUGAACCAGCCAAGUAGCGUGAAGGAUGACUGCCCUAUGGGUUGUAAACUUCUUUUAUACGGGAAUAAAGUUAGCCACGUGUGGCUUUUUGUAUGUACCGUAUGAAUAAGGAUCGGCUAACUCCGUGCCAGCAGCCGCGGUAAUACGGAGGAUCCGAGCGUUAUCCGGAUUUAUUGGGUUUAAAGGGAGCGUAGGCGGGUUGUUAAGUCAGUUGUGAAAGUUUGCGGCUCAACCGUAAAAUUGCAGUUGAUACUGGCGACCUUGAGUGCAACAGAGGUAGGCGGAAUUCGUGGUGUAGCGGUGAAAUGCUUAGAUAUCACGAAGAACUCCGAUUGCGAAGGCAGCUUACUGGAUUGUAACUGACGCUGAUGCUCGAAAGUGUGGGUAUCAAACAGGAUUAGAUACCCUGGUAGUCCACACAGUAAACGAUGAAUACUCGCUGUUGGCGAUAUACAGUCAGCGGCCAAGCGAAAGCAUUAAGUAUUCCACCUGGGGAGUACGCCGGCAACGGUGAAACUCAAAGGAAUUGACGGGGGCCCGCACAAGCGGAGGAACAUGUGGUUUAAUUCGAUGAUACGCGAGGAACCUUACCCGGGCUUAAAUUGCAACUGACUGAACCGGAAACGGUUCUUUCUUCGGACAGUUGUGAAGGUGCUGCAUGGUUGUCGUCAGCUCGUGCCGUGAGGUGUCGGCUUAAGUGCCAUAACGAGCGCAACCCUUAUCGAUAGUUACUAGCAGGUCAUGCUGAGGACUCUAUUGAGACUGCCGUCGUAAGAUGUGAGGAAGGUGGGGAUGACGUCAAAUCAGCACGGCCCUUACGUCCGGGGCUACACACGUGUUACAAUGGGGGGUACAGAAGGCAGCUACACGGCGACGUGGUGCUAAUCCCGAAAGCCUCUCUCAGUUCGGAUUGGAGUCUGCAACCCGACUCCAUGAAGCUGGAUUCGCUAGUAAUCGCGCAUCAGCCACGGCGCGGUGAAUACGUUCCCGGGCCUUGUACACACCGCCCGUCAAGCCAUGAAAGCCGGGGGUACCUGAAGUACGUAACCGCAAGGAGCGUCCUAGGGUAAAACUGGUGAUUGGGGCUAAG
RNAcentral lists this ribosomal RNA (1459 nucleotides) under uncultured organism. RNAcentral describes it as "SSU rRNA". It matches the Rfam family "Bacterial small subunit ribosomal RNA". The record is from RNAcentral.